UUUCCGUAGGUGAACCUGCGGAAGGAUCAUUAUUGUAUAACCGAGGUGCGAGGGCUGUCGCUGACCCGAAAGGUCGUGCACGCCCGAGUGCCCUCACACACAUCCAUCUCACCCCUAUGUGCACCACCGCGUGGGUCCCCCUUUGGCUUGUUCGGAGGGGGGCUUACGUUUUCACACAAACUUUGUAUGCAGUGUAGAAUGUAUUUUUUGUUUUUGCGAUCACGCAAUCAAUACGACUUUCAACAACGGAUCUCUUGGCUCUCGCAUCGAUGAAGAAUGCAGC
This 283-nucleotide unclassified non-coding RNA is filed under the name plant metagenome. Its description in RNAcentral is "partial contains small subunit ribosomal RNA, internal transcribed spacer 1, and 5.8S ribosomal RNA". The stretch from base 235 to 283 matches the Rfam family "5.8S ribosomal RNA", at positions 1 to 49 of the family's 154-position model. The record is from RNAcentral.